GAGUUUGAUCCUGGCUCAGGAUUAACGCUGGCGGCAUGCCUAACACAUGCAAGUCGACCGCUGUGCUUGCACAGAGGGGCGAACGGGUGAGUAACACGUAUCUAACCUACCUUUUAGUCUGGAAUAACUGUGGGAAACUGCAGCUAAUGCCGGAUAGAAGUCCAUUGGAAUCACUGGAGGACCAAAGAUCCGUUUGGAUCGCUAUUAGAUGGGGAUGCGGCGUAUUAGUUAGUUGGUGAGGUAAUGGCUCACCAAGACGAUGAUACGUAGCCGGCCUGAGAGGGUGAACGGCCACACUGGAACUGAGACACGGUCCAGACUCCUACGGGGGGCAGCAGUAGGGAAUCUUCCACAAUGGGCGAAAGCCUGAUGGAGCAAUGCCGCGUGAGUGAUGAAGGUCUUCGGAUCGUAAAGCUCUGUUGUAAGGGAAGAACGGUAUAUAUAGGAAAUGAUAUAUGCGUGACGGUACCUUACCAGAAAGCCACGGCUAACUACGUGCCAGCAGCCGCGGUAAUACGUAGGUGGCAAGCGUUAUCCGGAUUUACUGGGCGUAAAGAGGGAGCAGGUGGUUCUGUAAGUCAGAGGUUAAAGACCGGAGCUCAACUCCGUGUAUGCCUUUGAAACUACAGGACUAGAGAAUAAGAGAGGUUAGUGGAAUUUCAUGUGUAGCGGUGGAAUGCGUAGAUAUAUGAAGGAACACCAGUGGCGAAGGCGACUAACUGGCUUAUUUCUGACACUCAGUCCCGAAAGCGUGGGUAGCAAAUAGGAUUAGAUACCCUAGUAGUCCACGCCGUAAACGAUGAGUAUUAGGUGUCGGGGUUUCUCGGUGCCACAGCUAACGCAAUAAAUACUCCGCCUGGGAAGUAUGCUCGCAAGAGUGAAACUCAAAGGAAUUGACG
Molecule: ribosomal RNA, 899 nt
Filed under: uncultured bacterium
Lineage: Bacteria
Description: bacterial SSU rRNA
Rfam family: Bacterial small subunit ribosomal RNA
Source: RNAcentral